Molecule: ribosomal RNA, 4462 nt
Filed under: Triticum aestivum (bread wheat)
Lineage: Eukaryota; Viridiplantae; Streptophyta; Magnoliopsida; Poales; Poaceae
Description: partial small subunit ribosomal RNA
Source: RNAcentral
GGGUGGUGAAGGGGUGGUUGGUAGGAGGAGGGAGCGAGGGAAAGAGAGAGAGGGCUCGCGUAGACCGGGGUGUGGCGGCAGCUGGCGCUCCGGCCCCUGGAGUGGCGCGGCGGAGACUUGCAGGUCCCCCCGGCGGCGGAAGAGGAAGCAGGAGAGGCUAGGUGGCCCUGUUCGGCCUGGCGGGACGUCGAGCGGUAGCAACGGCAGAGGUGGUGCUCGUGCGAGGAGACGGGGCCGAGCAGGAGCUGCAAGGCCAGGUGGGGCUCCGGGAGACAGCAGCGGCAAGCGAGGAGACGUAGGUGUCACUCGAAGGCGGGGGAAACGGGGAAAGGAAGAGCACUUAGGCAGCGACAUCGGUGGAUGCGAGCGGCUCUGGCGGUACCUGCCCUCGAAGCGAGGUCACACGCGGGCGCGACGAUGACGAACGAUGUGGCGACAGCGGCGAGCGACGGCGGGCGUGGUCGCGAGCGAGCGGCGGCAACGGUGCGGGAGCGGAGGCGGGCUGAGGCGACGGACGCGUCGGGGCGCGCGGGCCGGUGGAGGGCAAGCGGGCGCGAGGGGAUGACGGCGACGAGCAGGCUCGUGCGCGAGCGAAAGUCUGAUCGGUAUGUAGUACGUAGGAAUGUGGUACCUAACUACGAUAUUUUAAAGACGAGUUCGUCGUGACGUCGAAGUCUUCUAUCGAUCGGUCCGACGUUCUAGAUGGUAAGGGGUUAUGACUAAACUAAACCUGACCACGAUUUAUACCUUGUUCUCAGAAUGCGUUGUGCUAAACCGGCCUCUUACCGGAGAGCAUCCUUCUUCUACCGACGUAUGGCUCUUCUAACCUUCCUCCCGUCUGGGUCGGGUAACUUCGCCCACGCCGGUCUUCUCUCCAGCGAAUUGGUAAUACACGAGACCGUCUGCAUGCAAAACUACCGGCAUUCUCCGAACCCGAUGAACCGAGAAGAUACCAGCUGCCACCAGGAGGACCCACCAAAGCAGUGGAACGACGCCUCCUUCCUAAAGACCACGGAACGUUGGUAAUCGUACAAUGUCCGUAGGUCCAUUCAUUCCUGAUACAGCACUGGAAAACCAAGCACGAGAGAAAAGAGGCUAUAAGUGUACAAAUGUAAUCCGCCUAGAGAUUAAGUGACAAAAAAGAAGAAAACUUCUUUAUCAUCAUCCUAUAAGCGUAGGUUGGCAAAUCAUCUAUAAGUUAAAGACAACUUGAACGUAAGCGAUUAUAGGUAUAAAACUGUAAACGUAGGAUAAAAUUUCAUGAUAGGUUGGCACCACACAAAACCCUUCCCAUAAACAUCUUAGCUUGACUGAAUAAAUAUUCCCUUUGCUCUGGUCUUUGGAACGUCUAUAGCCAAUUAAUUUGCUUGUUGGCCUUUUUUGGUGUUAGCGGUUCAUGAAAUUAAUUACACUACUUAAAUGUCCCGCAUUCUGUCAUGUAAUACUCUCAAUCAAGUCCGACUUAAACGUUCGUAGGUUGAGUAAACACCAACCAAACAAACAAACACUCUCAAUCAAGUCCGACUUAAACGUUCACAGGUUGAGUGAACACCAACCAAACAAACACUCUUAGUCAGUUUAGAUUUGAACACUAGACCAGUAAUCACUUAGUCAUUUAACUACUAAGAGUCUGAAGAAGUCAGACACUAAACAAGAAACAACAACAACGUAGGGUGAGACACUUAACCAUUUACACGUUACGUUAUUGCAAUGUAAAGUCGAUUUGUCCAGACAGAAAAGUUGGAAAGAGUUGUGAGAGUAACAUAAAUAAUAUAAGUGCAAUGAAAAGAAAUUGGUUUAUGAGGGAGGCAAGGAUUUAUAAUCUGGAAAAUCCUAAUAAGACAUCUGAUGUAUGCCUCGUUUUACUCACUUAGAUGUGAGAUUUCAUACAGAUAUAUGUAGGCAUACAUCAAGUAUCACUUUAGAAAUUUUCCAGAAUAUAAAUUCUUGCCUACCUCCUGAUAGUUUUACAAUUGCUCCUAACUGGAGCUGAGACUGAUGUGUUAACGAUACCGCGUACGUCCUAGCACUCGCUACACCUCCUGGUCGCCAGGAGGUUAAAACGGCUUGACAUGCAGUUGCGAGUACGCAUGAAACACCCUUAGUAUGUCUAAUGAUGAUUGUUUAUACGACGAUCUCUCGACAGAGCCACAACGAUGACACGGAAAAAUAGCCCAGAAUAGGAUACGACCGGACAGUAGCGGCACGAAUACUCGAAUCACAAUGAACAUGACAAGUAGGUGGUAAUACCCGUAAAGCAGACACAGCACGAGAGUAACACCGCGUAUCAUGUCGCACUAAUACCUUCGUUGCUACCUCUGCCGUCGUUUCGUUUAUACUACGGUCGAGAUCUGUAUAAGAUAAGAAACCAAGAAACGGUUCCACGCGAGACCAAAUAUACCCACACCUAGUCAAGACCCCGCUACACCGAACAGCAAAGAGACGCAGCUCGUACGUUCAAGGGCCUCUUCACCCCGUCGUAUAGCCAAAGCCUCAUGGAGGACCUGUGUGAUCUCUUUACGACCGCCCUGGGAUACAGGUAUGUACCGUCCUUCCACUAGUUGAUACGGCAACUGAACGAACUGAGACUGAGCGUCUUUCUAAUGGAGAGCCCUCGUUCCUACGACCUGUGGAAGUAAUUCGACCUGCGACUACAUUCUAGUCAAUAAGAGGGGAGAUCCGGUUUCUAAGUCUUCGACUAGCUAUGUCACCCUAGCUCUUCGUCACUAUCUCUCUAGUCCCUCGAACGCCGGUCCUAGUAGCGGAUAGAACGUCCACUAUAGGUGGAUUGGGUCAAGGGACCCCGUUAUGCCACGUAUAGGAGACACGAGCUAUGGUGGGACGGUAUAACCUUGUUGGUUGUUCCUGUGUUAGUAAUGAGUUGAGUUUCAUUCAGUUUUUUCAGAAAAAUAAGAUUUCCUUUUAACUAAAAAGUACAGUCUUUGUAUCUCCUUGCAUCUCGUUUGUUCCAAUUUCGGGUUCUCCCACUGAAAGUCGUUCUGCUUGAUUUAUUAAGAAGCUGGUUACCGUCGUUUCCUCGACCGACCUUACUCGACUAAGAUGUUCCGUACUGUUAAGAGCUCUUCGAGCACCGGCUGGUCGUCUUGACGUCGCUGUAUACGUCGUGGGGACCAGACGAGGGGUUCUAGUACCGCGGAGAAUUGAGGCUCUGUGAUUAGGUUCUAUAGUCAUAUUUACGUACCCGUCUAUAUCAUUUGCCUAGCAAGUUUCACGAAGUGUCCGAGUAGACGCAAGGACUCACCUGUCCAUCUACCCACGUGAGACUUUAUCGAAGAUCGCUUGUACGUCACUCGUUGGACCUCCUUUAAGAACUACUCCCGUUGUCUUUACAGCUUCUUGACGUCUACGCUCGGUAUCUCUAGGACUGGCUUGACCGAAACCUAUACGUUUGUCUAGAAUCGUCGUUUUGUUUUCUUUAAGAGGAGUUCUUCGUCGACGUCUAGAAGGAAUGACUACCGCUUGGUCUUCUUGUACUGUCAUUCAAGUAGUGUCUUUCCGACUUUCAUUGCCGACCAUUUUGUAACCGUGAUAAUCGGUUCUGUCGUUGACACAGGCGCGAACAUCACUCCCUUAUACUCUUGUAACAACUUCAUGAACUACGAUUCUUGUUUUAGUAAAUGUCUUGUUAACGUCGCCUCUAGAACCUCUUAAACACAUCAGUGGUAUUCUACCUGUUCCUUGUACACUUCUGAUAGAACGACGGUUUCCAUGAUUCUCUUCAUGAUUGGUGACUUCGUAGACUUUCGUUACAAAGACGUAACCCUCUACUACGUCUUUUGGUAGUUGAAAGACGUGACCCUUUACUACUUCUUUUUGUUGAAGGCUUCGUGUUCUCCGUUUACUUCAGUCGGCUAGUUCGUUUACUCCUCGUUUGACGAUACUACCUUAACGUUCUUCGCAAAAAUAGAGAAUGAAACCACUAUACGUGACUUGACUAGUCACGCCUACUGAAACUACUACACCGAGCUUUUCAACGGGGUCGUCUUCCACCUAAACACCGCUUCGACUUCUGAUAUUAUCUUCUCUUGACACUCCUGUGCCGAUUGUCGGAUUCUUAACAGUUCGAAACACCAGUCUAACGACAAUCUUACUACGCCGCACCGGUCAUGUCACGCGUGAAGUUCCUAGUCUUUAAGCACCUCUGUGACAGAUUCCGAAGCUAUUAGUACAGAUUGGAACUUUCGACGUACGAGAAGCGACCCUGACUAACACCUUGCUUCUUCUGACGGUCUGGGGAGGAGAGCCUAGAGCACUUUCUCCGUGUGCACAACCAACGAAUUUUUACAUCAGCACUAAAGACGGUCAGACUACAGGAUAAAGACAUCUCCUUUGUUAGUACAUACGUAGAGCGAACAAAGUAAAGAUUUUGUUCUAACAUAACGACUUUAAUAUGGGUAAAAUACCUUGUUUAUUACGAUGGUGAAAACAUACACUAUGAGUC